RNAcentral lists this ribosomal RNA (465 nucleotides) under Vreelandella stevensii. RNAcentral's name for it is "partial 16S ribosomal RNA". It matches the Rfam family "Bacterial small subunit ribosomal RNA", at positions 338 to 795 of the family's 1533-position model. Lineage: Bacteria; Pseudomonadati; Pseudomonadota; Gammaproteobacteria; Oceanospirillales; Halomonadaceae. The record is from RNAcentral.
CCUACGGGCGGCAGCAGUGGGGAAUAUUGGACAAUGGGGGCAACCCUGAUCCAGCCAUGCCGCGUGUGUGAAGAAGGCCCUCGGGUUGUAAAGCACUUUCAGUGAGGAAGAACGCCUGGUGGUUAAUACCCAUCAGGAAAGACAUCACUCACAGAAGAAGCACCGGCUAACUCCGUGCCAGCAGCCGCGGUAAUACGGAGGGUGUGAGCGUUAAUCGGAAUUACUGGGCGUAAAGCGCGCGUAGGUGGCUUGAUAAGCCGGUUGUGAAAGCCCCGGGCUCAACCUGGGAACGGCAUCCGGAACUGUCAAGCUAGAGUGCAGGAGAGGAAGGUAGAAUUCCCGGUGUAGCGGUGAAAUGCGUAGAGAUCGGGAGGAAUACCAGUGGCGAAGGCGGCCUUCUGGACUGACACUGACACUGAGGUGCGAAAGCGUGGGUAGCAAACAGGAUUAGAUACCCUUGUAGUC